AACGAACGCUGGUGGCAGGCUUAACACAUGCAAGUCGAACGCAUCCUUCGGGGUGAGUGGCAGACGGGUGAGUAACGCGUGGGAAUCUACCCUGAUCUGCGGGAUAGCUCCGGGAAACUGGAAUUAAUACCGCAUAUGUCCUGAGGGACAAAGAUAUAUCGGUUCAGGAUGAGCCCGCGUCCGAUUAGCUAGUUGGUGGGGUAAAGGCCUACCAAGGCGACGAUCGGUAGCUGGUCUAAGAGGAUGAUCAGCCACAUUGAGACUGAGACACGGCCCAAACUCCUACGGGAGGCAGCAGUGGGGAAUAUUGGACAAUGGGCGCAGGCCUGAUCCAGCCAUGCCGCGUGAGUGAUGAAGGUCUUAGGAUUGUAAAGCUCUUUCACCGGGGACGAUAAUGACGGUACCCGGAGAAGAAGCCCCGGCUAACUUCGUGCCAGCCGCCGCAGUAA
Molecule: ribosomal RNA, 449 nt
Filed under: uncultured bacterium
Lineage: Bacteria
Description: partial 16S ribosomal RNA
Rfam family: Bacterial small subunit ribosomal RNA
Source: RNAcentral